UAAUACGGAGGGUGCAAGCGUUACUCGGAAUCACUGGGCGUAAAGGGCGCGUAGGCGUCCCCUUAAGUCUCCCGUGAAAGCCCACAGCUUAACUGUGGAACUGCGGGGGAAANCUGGGGGGAUAGAGUGCGGAAGAGGUCGAUGGAAUUUCUGGUGUAGGGGUAAAAUCCGUAGAGAUCAGAAGGAAUACCGAUGGCGAAGGCGAUCGACUGGGACGUUACUGACGCUGAGGCGCGAAAGCGUGGGGAGCAAACAGGAUUAGAUACCCUGGUAGUCCACGCCCUAAACGAUGGAUACUAGUUGUCGGGGGUCUCUUCGGUAACGCAGCUAACGCAUUAAGUAUCCCGCCUGGGGAGUACGGCCGCAAGGUUA
This 372-nucleotide ribosomal RNA is filed under the name uncultured bacterium. Its description in RNAcentral is "bacterial SSU rRNA". It matches the Rfam family "Bacterial small subunit ribosomal RNA", at positions 521 to 896 of the family's 1533-position model. The record is from RNAcentral.